RNAcentral lists this transfer RNA (61 nucleotides) under Anisakis simplex (herring worm). RNAcentral's name for it is "tRNA-Ile". RNAcentral also lists the same sequence under 1 other name. The record is from RNAcentral. Lineage: Eukaryota; Metazoa; Nematoda; Chromadorea; Rhabditida; Anisakidae.
AUUAUUUUAGUAAAACUUUAUUACGUCGUCUUGAUAAGGCGGAGUUCCUUUGGAAAUAAUA